UCGUGUCGUGAGAUGUUGGGUUAAGUCCCGUAACGAGCGAAACCCUUGUCUCCAGUUGCCAGCGGGUCAUGCCGGGGACUCUGGAGAGACUGCCGGUGUUAAACCGGAGGAAGGUGGGGAUGACGUCAAGUCCUCAUGGCCUUUAUGUCCAGGGCUGCACACGUGCUACAAUGGUGCGCACAAAGGGAAGCCAACCCGCGAGGGGGAGCCAAUCCCAAAAAACGCGCCUCAGUUCAGAUCGAAGGCUGCAACUCGCCUUCGUGAAGUUGGAAUCGCUAGUAAUCGCAGGUCAGCAACACUGCGGUGAAUGUGUUCCUGAGCCUUG
This 325-nucleotide ribosomal RNA is filed under the name uncultured bacterium. Its description in RNAcentral is "bacterial SSU rRNA". It matches the Rfam family "Bacterial small subunit ribosomal RNA", at positions 1060 to 1383 of the family's 1533-position model. The record is from RNAcentral.